GAUGAACGCUGGCGGCGUGCCUAAUACAUGCAAGUCGAGCGAACAGAUGAGGAGCUUGCUCCUUUGACGUUAGCGGCGGACGGGUGAGUAACACGUGGAUAACCUACCUAUAAGACUGGGAUAACUUCGGGAAACCGGAGCUAAUACCGGAUAAUAUUUUGAACCGCAUGGUUCAAUAGUGAAAGACGGUUUUGCUAUCACUUAUAGAUGGAUCCGCGCCGCAUUAGCUAGUUGGUAAGGUAACGGCUUACCAAGGCAACGAUACGUAGCCGACCUGAGAGGGUGAUCGGCCACACUGGAACUGAGACACGGUCCAGACUCCUACGGGAGGCAGCAGUAGGGAAUCUUCCGCAAUGGGCGAAAGCCUGACGGAGCAACGCCGCGUGAGUGAUGAAGGUCUUCGGAUCGUAAAACUCUGUUAUUAGGGAAGAACAAAUGUGUAAGUAACUAUGCACGUCUUGACGGUACCUAAUCAGAAAGCCACGGCUAACUACGUG
This 497-nucleotide ribosomal RNA is filed under the name uncultured bacterium. RNAcentral's name for it is "partial 16S ribosomal RNA". It matches the Rfam family "Bacterial small subunit ribosomal RNA", at positions 28 to 507 of the family's 1533-position model. The record is from RNAcentral.